CUCUUAUUCCGAGUGAUGGAGAUAUAAAGGAUCGAUGAAAUCACGGCAACCCCUUUUAAGGAAGGUGCCAACCUGAAGCGAAGAAUCGAACAAUAAGAG
RNAcentral lists this non-coding RNA (99 nucleotides) under Lachnospiraceae bacterium TWA4. Its description in RNAcentral is "SAM riboswitch aptamer (S box leader)". It matches the Rfam family "SAM riboswitch aptamer (S box leader)". From Rfam's summary of the family: The SAM riboswitch is found upstream of a number of genes which code for proteins involved in methionine or cysteine biosynthesis in Gram-positive bacteria. The SAM riboswitch acts at the level of transcription termination control. The predicted structure consists of a complex stem-loop region followed by a single stem loop terminator region. Lineage: Bacteria; Bacillati; Bacillota; Clostridia; Lachnospirales; Lachnospiraceae. The record is from Rfam by way of RNAcentral. RNAcentral also lists the same sequence under 1 other name.